UACAAUGGAGAGUUUGAUCCUGGCUCAGGAUGAACGCUAGCGGGAGGCCUAACACAUGCAAGCCGAGCGGUAGGGUCUCUUCGGAGACUUGAGAGCGGCGUACGGGUGCGUAACACGUGUGCAACCUGCCUCUAUCUGGGGGAUAGCCUUCCGAAAGGAAGAUUAAUACCCCAUAAUAUAAUGAUUGGCAUCAAUUAUUAUUGAAAACUCCGGUGGAUAGAGAUGGGCACGCGCAAGAUUAGAUAGUUGGUGGGGUAACGGCCCACCAAGUCGAUGAUCUUUAGGGGUCCUGAGAGGGAGAUCCCCCACACUGGUACUGAGACACGGACCAGACUCCUACGGGAGGCAGC
Molecule: ribosomal RNA, 350 nt
Filed under: Flavobacteriales bacterium
Lineage: Bacteria; Pseudomonadati; Bacteroidota; Flavobacteriia; Flavobacteriales
Description: bacterial SSU rRNA
Rfam family: Bacterial small subunit ribosomal RNA
Source: RNAcentral